GUCUCGGGCAGCGGGGGGGCAGAAGCGCUGAGGCAGCACGUGGGGCAGGCGAGCGAGGCCCCGACCCUGCGAGGGGGACUUUGCCCUUGCACGUGCGCGUGCACCCACGUGGCGGGGACACACGUGCGUGCCGCGGCAGGCCUCGGUCCCGCAUCCCGGCAGGGCCGCGAGCGUGGGGCCGGGAGCGAGUCCCGCCGGGCCUAAUCCUGCGCCGCGGGGCGCAGCCCGGGCCCCCGCACAGAUGCCGCAUGGCCCUUUCGGCCGCGCGGCGCUCCUGGAGCGGCACCUGCCUGGACACGCUUGGGUGGCUCCCAGCAAAGCUGGGCACGGCGGUCGCGCUGGGGCCCUGAGGAGGAGGAGGAGGAGGAAGUAGCAAUAGGAGCCGGGGGGGGGGGCAUGGCAGCGUUGUGGCUACACACCCAAAUUCCCAGGCAAGGAGAUACCCAGCCGGCAGGUGGGGCCGGGCUCUGGCACGGCUGCAGCUGCCUGCGCCGGGGGGUAGGAUGGCCCUGCGGUCACAGCGUCACGGCCCAGCCUGCCACGGCCCCCAGGUCACAGCACCCGGCCACCCUAUAUCCCAGUCUCCUGGUCUCCCUAUAUCCCAGGCCCCUGGUCUCCCUAUAUCCCAGGCCCCUGAUUCACACUAUAUCCCAGUCCCCUGGUCUCUCUAUAUCCCAGCCCCCUGAUUCACACUAUAUCCCAGUCCCCUGGUCUCCCUAUAUCCCAGUCCUCUGGUUACCCUAUAUCCCA
This 750-nucleotide long non-coding RNA is filed under the name Apteryx haastii (Great spotted kiwi). RNAcentral describes it as "lncRNA (ENSAHAG00000017477.1)". Lineage: Eukaryota; Metazoa; Chordata; Aves; Apterygiformes; Apterygidae. The record is from RNAcentral.